UGAACCCUAUGCCUCCCUCCUCAAAAGGCAUACAAAGGUUAGUCCAAGAUGACCAAUGUCUAGUGCUCCCUCCUACAUUGCUGCUCCAGAAAAACUUGGCAAAAAUGCUAUGUAAUUUGUUGAUCACAUAAAUUGGAGGAUUAACUGCUGACAACAUAUGAAUUGGGAUACUCUGCAGGACAUUUGCAAUUAAAACAACUCUGCCUCUUACAGAUAGGAGUUUGUCUUUCCAUGACUGAAGUUUGUACAUAACCUUGGUGAUUAAUCCCUGGUAAUAGUCUCCCCUUCUUCUUGCAUAAAAAAUAGGACAGCCAAGAUAGGUCAUAGGGAAACAUUGUCUUCGUAUACCUGUAAUCCUUUCCACCUUGUUAAUCACCUCAUUAUCCGUUAAAUGAUGCAGGUAUAUGGCUGAUUUGGCUUUGUUCACCAGUUGACCAGAUGAUGAUUCAUAAGCUUGCAAAACCUCCAUGACAAG
RNAcentral lists this long non-coding RNA (475 nucleotides) under Nicotiana tabacum (common tobacco). Its description in RNAcentral is "long non-coding RNA (NTAB_LNC017677)". The record is from RNAcentral. Lineage: Eukaryota; Viridiplantae; Streptophyta; Magnoliopsida; Solanales; Solanaceae.